GUCGGGCUUUGGGGCCUGGCGGGCCUCCUGCCGCUUCGCGUGGAAGGGUUGCUGCUCCGGGGAGGGGGCAGGUGGGCCCUGCUCGCAGCUGGGGCAGCGGGUUGUGAGGUUCAGGGUGCGUGGUGUGUGAAGGCCUGUGUUUGGGGACUUAGAUCGAAUGUUGAAUACCCCUUACCUCCUCAUCUCGCAUUCUGUUGAACUGUUCAGUACAAGGCUCUGUCCCUGGCUUAGGAUGAGUGAACACACUCCGUGCCCGCAGAAGCUUUGUAAGACAGCCUUGCGAGGGUACUUACUUGUGCCCUGCAGGAUAAGGGGCUGAGAUACCGACAAGGCUGGCACUGGGGUGAGAUCCAAGAGCAGCCUCCGUCCCUAUCCAAAGAUCAAAACCUAUGAAACCAUUGAGUUUGUGCCUUGUAACUCAUGGAGAAAGCAAACGACAACGGAAACGCUUUCAGCUAGUGUUGCCCGAGGAUAUAGGCAACUCUGCAGAUUGUCAUCAUGGGUAUCCGAGGACUAAUGAGUUUUGUGGAAGAUCAUAGCAAUGACUUCUUCACUGAUUUGAAGUUGCGGGACACGAAAAUUGUUAUUGAUGGCUAUGCUCUUUUCCAUCGACUUUGUUUCAAUUCAAAUUUGGAGCUGCGCUAUGGAGGCGACUAUGAUGCUUUUGCAGAUGUUGUACAAAAGUUCUUUGAAUCACUGUUUGCUUGUAAUAUAUGUCCGUAUGUUGUUUUAGAUGGAGGAUGUGACAUUUCAGAUAAAAAGCUUACAACUUUAAAGGAUAGAGCUAGAGAGAAGAUUCAGACAGCCCAUUCCCUUUCUGUUGGUGGGGGUGGUUAUGUAUGUCCCUUACUCAUCCGGGAAGUGUUCAUCCAGGUUCUGGUCAGGCUACAGGUAUGUUUUGUCCAGUGCUUUUCAGAAGCAGAUCGGGACAUUAUGACACUUGCCAACCACUGGGAUUGCCCUGUGUUAUCAUCAGAUAGUGACUUCUGCAUCUUUGACCUGAAAACUGGGUUUUGCCCAUUGAACAGCUUUCAGUGGAGAAACAUUAACACUUUCAAGGGCACAAAAAACUGCUAUAUUCCUGCCAAAUGCUUUUCCCUUGAUGCAUUCUGCCAUCACUUCAGCAACAUGAAUAGAACCCUGCUACCUCUCUUUGCGGUACUAUGUGGAAAUGACCACAUUAAUCUGCCCAUCAUGGAGAAAUUCUUAAGUAAAGUACGUCUUCCCGUUGGAACCACCAGUUCUAAGGGGAGGAGACACCAUCGAGUCCUGGGCCUACUGAAUUGGUUGUCUCAUUUUGCAGACCCUUGUGAAGCACUAGAUAAUGUCCUCAACUAUCUCCCAAAAAAGGAUCGAGAAAGUGUUAAGGAACUUCUCUGCUGUUCCAUGGAAGAAUACCAGCAGUCCCAGGUGAAGCUGCAGGACUUCUUCCAGUACGGCUCUUACGUCUGCCCAGACGCCUUGAACUUGGGUUUACCAGAAUGGAUACUAGUGGCGUUAGCCAGAGGCCAACUACCCCCUUUCAUCAGCGAUGCUUUGGUGCUACGAAGGACUAUCCUUCACACUCAGGUAGAAAACAUGCAGCGACCAAAUGCCCACAGGGUGUCGCAGCCCAUCCGGCAAAUCAUCUAUGGGCUUCUUCUGAAUGCUUCACCACAUCUGCGGGAUGCAGCCUGGCAGGCGUCGCCGCCUCAGCCUGUAGCCUUCAGGGAAGUGGAAAGGAUUCACAGAAAUAUCACAACAUCAGUUGUUGAUGCCGUAGACCCGCUCAAGGACCGUUCCGACCUAAGCACGUUGACUGAGGUGGAGGAAGAUGGCGACUGAGUAAGACGCUUGAGGGACCAUCUCCCACAGAGGCACCAGUCUGAACAGCUAUAAACGCACCAAAUCACCUUCACAAGAGCUGUGGAAGCCAGGUUCCUGGGCUCCCUCAACCAGCUUCCGACAGGAUGGGAGCACCCAAGGAUGCAGUGACAUGAGUGAAGGCUGUGUAGCAGGAAAAGACAGUGUACCCAUUCAGCCACCUUAUCCUUUAAGGACCUUAUCCCUGUUCUAAGUGCUGUCAUCCCUUCCCCACUAGAA
Molecule: non-coding RNA, 2082 nt
Organism: Oryctolagus cuniculus (rabbit)
Lineage: Eukaryota; Metazoa; Chordata; Mammalia; Lagomorpha; Leporidae
Source: RefSeq, a predicted model, not a curated record